CACCGAGCAGAGCAGUCCUUCCCGACACCUCAUCCGACGAACACGAUUCCGACCACGAGGGACAUCCCACACAGAGCAGAGCAGUCCUUCCCGACACCUCAUCCGACGAAGUGAGUAAGCCAGUCUUACGUACUAGAAACCAGUGAGGGCCGUCAAUACGGGGUUCCCUCCACUUCUUGGCUCCAUGCAGUUCCGAGCAGUGCACUCAGGGUACCAGAGGUACCCUAUCCUGUGCCACAGGGCUGGUAGAGUGUGAAUUGACUCCAAACCUUACCCAAUCUGUGUCCGUUCCAGCACGAUUCCGACCACGAGGGACAUCCCACACCGAGCAGAGCAGUCCUUCCCGACACCUCAUCCGACGAACACGAUUCCGACCACGAGGGACAUCCCACACAGAGCAGAGCAGUCCUUCCCGACACCUCAUCCGACGAAGU
Long non-coding RNA from Ornithodoros turicata, 434 nucleotides. RefSeq lists it as uncharacterized. The transcript is spliced from 3 exons. The record is from RefSeq and is a predicted model, not a curated record. NCBI's taxonomy places the organism in Eukaryota, Metazoa, Arthropoda, Arachnida, Ixodida, Argasidae.